CCCUUAGAUGCUCUGGGCCGCACGCGCGCUACACUGGUCGAUGCAACGAGUUUCUUUCCUUGGCCGACAGGCCUGGGCAAUCUUUGAACAUCGAUCGUGAUCGGGAUAGAUUCUUGUAAUUUUUGAUCUUAAACGAGGAAUUCCUAGUAAACGCAAGUCAUCAGCUUGCAUUGAUUACGUCCCUGCCCUUUGUACACACCGCCCGUCGCACCUACCGAUUGAAUGGUCCGGUGAAAUCUCCGGACUGGCGUGAGUCGGAGCAAUCUGACAAACGCCGGAAAGUUGAUUAAACCUUACCACUUGGAGGAAGGAGAAGUCGUAACA
RNAcentral lists this ribosomal RNA (324 nucleotides) under uncultured eukaryote. Its description in RNAcentral is "partial 18S ribosomal RNA". It matches the Rfam family "Eukaryotic small subunit ribosomal RNA", at positions 1470 to 1796 of the family's 1831-position model. The record is from RNAcentral.